RNAcentral lists this transfer RNA (76 nucleotides) under Caudoviricetes sp. RNAcentral describes it as "tRNA-Thr". It matches the Rfam family "tRNA". From Rfam's summary of the family: Transfer RNA (tRNA) molecules are approximately 80 nucleotides in length. Their secondary structure includes four short double-helical elements and three loops (D, anti-codon, and T loops). The record is from RNAcentral. Lineage: Duplodnaviria; Heunggongvirae; Uroviricota; Caudoviricetes.
GCCGGAUUAGCUCAGCUGGUAGAGUACCUGUUUUGUACUCAGGAUGUCGCAGGUUCAAACCCUGUAUCCGGCUCCA